Molecule: long non-coding RNA, 321 nt
Filed under: Dermacentor andersoni
Lineage: Eukaryota; Metazoa; Arthropoda; Arachnida; Ixodida; Ixodidae
Description: uncharacterized LOC126525313
Source: RNAcentral
UACGCGUGUUUCUUGCACUUAUGGUACGAAACAUUCUCCUGCAUUACAGCGGCGUCCAGAUGGGAAAUCCGUCUGCUGAGACGUAUCCCAUUUCGCUUCCUUGCUGCUUCGAGAUGCGACCGUUGGUAUAUAUAAAGGCCCGCGAGCACCUAGAUUCUACCGACCUAUAUUCAAGGUGUUGGCUCAAGACAGUAGCUCCAUUUUCCGACGAGGCGAUAUGAAGGUGCUUGUGAUCGCUCUAAUCUUCACGCUGGUGUGUGGCAUUCUCGCCACCGCUUCUCUCAAUGAAGACAAAAGCGAAGUCGCCCACUUGAGAGUUCG